GGGCGCUUAGCUCAGCGGGAGAGCACCGCUUUCACACGGCGGGGGUCGUUGGUUCAAUCCCAACAGCGCCCACCA
This 75-nucleotide transfer RNA is filed under the name Alphaproteobacteria bacterium. RNAcentral describes it as "tRNA-Val". It matches the Rfam family "tRNA". From Rfam's summary of the family: Transfer RNA (tRNA) molecules are approximately 80 nucleotides in length. Their secondary structure includes four short double-helical elements and three loops (D, anti-codon, and T loops). Further hydrogen bonds mediate the characteristic L-shaped molecular structure. tRNAs have two regions of fundamental functional importance: the anti-codon, which is responsible for specific mRNA codon recognition, and the 3' end, to which the tRNAs corresponding amino acid is attached (by aminoacyl-tRNA synthetases). tRNAs cope with the degeneracy of the genetic code in two manners: having more than one tRNA (with a specific anti-codon) for a particular amino acid; and 'wobble' base-pairing, i.e. permitting non-standard base-pairing at the 3rd anti-codon position. Lineage: Bacteria; Pseudomonadati; Pseudomonadota; Alphaproteobacteria. The record is from RNAcentral.